GACGAACGCUGGCGGCGUGCUUAACACAUGCAAGUCGAACGGAAAGGCCCUGCUUUUGUGGGGUGCUCGAGUGGCGAACGGGUGAGUAACACGUGAGUAACCUGCCCUUGACUUUGGGAUAACUUCAGGAAACUGGGGCUAAUACCGGAUAGGAGCUCCUGCUGCAUGGUGGGGGUUGGAAAGUUUCGGCGGUUGGGGAUGUACUCGCGGCUUAUCAGCUUGUUGGUGGGGUAGUGGCUUACCAAGGCUUUGACGGGUAGCCGGCCUGAGAGGGUGACCGGCCACAUUGGGACUGAGAUACGGCCCAGACUCCUACGGGAGGCAGCAGUGGGGAAUAUUGCACAAUGGGCGGAAGCCUGAUGCAGCAACGCCGCGUGCGGGAUGACGGCCUUCGGGUUGUAAACCGCUUUCGCCUGUGACGAAGCGUGAGUGACGGUAACGGGUAAAGAAGCACCGGCUAACUACGUG
This 468-nucleotide ribosomal RNA is filed under the name uncultured bacterium. RNAcentral's name for it is "partial 16S ribosomal RNA". It matches the Rfam family "Bacterial small subunit ribosomal RNA", at positions 28 to 507 of the family's 1533-position model. The record is from RNAcentral.